UCCCUCAUUCAUUCAUUUAUUCCUUCCUUUCAUCCAUUUAUUCCCUCAUUUAUUCCUUCCUUCUUUCCUCUAUCCAUUUAUUUCCUCAUUUAUUCCCUCAUUUAUUCCUUCCUUCUUUCCUCUAUCCAUUUAUUUCCUCAUUUAUUCCCUCAUUUAUUCCUUCUUCCCUUCCAUUCACCCAUUUAUUCCCUCAUUUAUUCCUUCCUUCCUUCCUUCCAUUCAUUAUUUCCAUCCAUCCAUUCAUUCCUUCAAUCCUCCAUUCAUUCACUCGGUUCCUUCACUCCGUUCAUUCAUGCACUCCAUUCAUUCACUCACUCCACUCACUCAUUCAUUCAUUCAUUCCCCCGUUCCCAUUCCCGUCCCAGUCUCUUCCAUUUUUUAUUUCACCCCAACGCUUCGUUAAUUAAUUUCUUUUAAUAAUUCCAGCUGAUUAUUCCUUUCAACCCUUGUCGUCGUUUCCUUCGAUUCUUUUAUUUCAACGGUGCCUUUUAAUUAUUUUUAUUCCCUUCGAUACUCGUUAUUUUUUUAAUUAAUUCCGAUUGUUCCCUUUUGUUUUCAUUAUUUCCUUUGAUUUUGUGUUAUUUUAAUUAAUUCCAGUCAUUCCUUUUAAUUUCUAUUUUUCAUUAUUUCCUUUGAUUUUGUGUUAUUUUAAUUAAUUCCAGUCA
This 665-nucleotide long non-coding RNA is filed under the name Numida meleagris (helmeted guineafowl). Its description in RNAcentral is "lncRNA (ENSNMEG00000001145.1)". Lineage: Eukaryota; Metazoa; Chordata; Aves; Galliformes; Numididae. The record is from RNAcentral.